CCUUCCUACCGAAGCAGGUUUUAAUUAGAUAACGAUGGAUACCCCCCCUAUAAUCCUGGCCUUAUUAUUUUAUUUUAUUAUAUUUCUCUAAAUCCAGAUCCGUGCGCCGGCGCCAGGGAGGCUCCUUCUUGUUUAUAUCGAGUUUUUGAUGACUACUUCCUUCGUGGAUUUCGAACAAGACGAAGCAUCCCGCUUUCCAAUCCAUCCGCUGGUCUUAACACGUCCCGCUGCACCCGUUUCAAGAAGACUUGAGUUCUUGAUCUGGAGGGUUUAUUGUGCGGAGAACUUCAAUUUGGUUUGAAGGGAGGUUAUCAUCAAACUGGUUCCUUCACCUUCUGUUCUUUUUGGAUUAAGUAAGAGCCGAUAUCUUUGCUAUGUGCAUUGUAUUACAAGGAAAAGAAGGAUUCUGCAACAACUGUUUGAGUGGGUCAAAAGGGUUGAUUUAUUACCUUACCAGUCACCAAUUUAUGGGGGCCAGUUUGUUUGGCCAGUGACCAAGAUGGAAAACUUGCAUGGUAAUAGUAAACUAUGCAAUGCUGUUGCAAGAUACGGUUAAAGAAAGAAGAGCAAAGUUGCUGUGGGUGCUUCAUUACUGCUGGAAACUUUAUUAUGGCUGCAGCAACUAAUGAAGGCAGUUGCAGCUUGUUGGGAAAUGGAGUUGUUGGAAUCCUUGCUGAGUCUAUCAACAUAUGGGAGAGAAGAGCACCACUGACUCCAUCCCACUGUGCCCGCCUUCUACUUGGCGGCAAGGGUAAAACUGGAGUUGAACGUAUCAUUGUGCAGCCAAGCACAAAGCGUAUUCAUCAUGAUGCUCAGUAUGAGGAUGUUGGGUGUGAAAUAUCAGACGAUCUAUCGGAAUGUGGUCUCAUUAUCGGGAUCAAACAACCAAAGUUGGAGAUGAUUCUUCCAGAUAGAGCAUAUGCCUUCUUCUCCCACACCCACAAGGCCCAGAAAGAAAACAUGCCUCUUUUAGAUAAGAUUCUUGCUGAAAGGGUGUCUUUAUAUGACUAUGAGCUUAUUGUGGGGGAUAAUGGGAAAAGAUUGAUUGCAUUUGGAAAAUUUGCUGGUAGAGCUGGGCUGAUUGACUUCUUACAUGGGCUAGGACAACGAUACUUGACUCUGGGAUAUUCAACACCUUUCCUGUCACUUGGGGCAUCUCAUAUGUAUUCUUCUCUUGCUGCAGCGAAAGCUGCAGUUAUCACUGUGGGUGAAGAAAUAGCUACUCUGGGACUGCCAUCUGGAAUUUCUCCUAUAGUCUUUGUAUUCACUGGGAAUGGAAAUGUUUCUCAGGGUGCACAAGAGAUAUUUAAGCUCUUACCUCAUACCUUUGUGGAGGCUCACAGACUUCCAGAACUUUUUAGACGGGCUGGUGAUUUAGCUCAACAUUCUCAACCGAUGAGGAGAGUCUCUCAAGUAUAUGGAUGUGUGGUGACUUGUCAAGACAUGGUUGCACCCAAGAAUUCUACUAAAAGUUUUGAUAAAACUGAUUAUUAUGCCCAUCCAGAACACUAUUAUCCUGUUUUUCAUGAAAGAAUCGCUCCAUAUGCAUCUGUCAUCGUGAAUUGUAUGUAUUGGGAGAAGAGAUUUCCUCGGUUGCUGACUACUAAGCAGCUGCAAGAACUAACGAAGAAAGGAUCUCCACUUGUCGGAGUUUCUGACAUAACUUGUGAUAUUGGCGGUUCAAUUGAAUUUGUUAACCAAACAACAUUUAUAGAGAGACCUUUCUUCAGGUAUGACCCAUUCACUGAUUCAUACCAUGAUGACAUGGAGGGUGAUGGUGUAAUUUGUUUAGCUGUUGACAUCCUUCCAACAGAGUUUUCCAGGGAGGCUUCUCAACAUUUUGGGGAUAUUCUAUCUCAAUUUGUUGGUAGAUUGGCUUCAGCCAGGAGCAUAAUGGAACUACCAUCUUACCUGAGAAAAGCAUGCAUAGCUCAUGCUGGAGCACUUACUUCUUUGUAUGAAUAUAUCCCUCGAAUGAGAAAAACUUCAGCAGAUCCAUCAUCAAAUCAUGCAAAUGAUUCUUCUGGCAAGACGAAGUACACUACACUGGUAUCACUUAGUGGUCAUUUGUUUGAUCAGUUUUUAAUUAAUGACGCUCUGGAUGUUAUUGAAGCUGCUGGUGGAUCUUUUCGCUUGGUUAAAUGUGAUGUGGGUCAAAGUUCAAGUGCCAUGUCCUACUCAGAACUUGAAGUUGCUGCUGAUGACACUGCCAUCCUUGAUAAGAUAGUAGAUUCCCUAACUUCUAUUGCAAAUUCAAGUAAAGGCGGAGUCUUUAACAAAGAAAAAGAAUUAUCUUUGAAGAUAGGCAAAAUUAGUGAAAGAAAAGUGGAGGUCAGAAGUGGCAUUAAGAACAUGCCAGCAGUUUUAAUUCUUGGUGCAGGCCGUGUUUGCCGACCAGCUGCUGAAUUUUUAGCAUCAGGAGGGAGCAUAUCCUGCAGUGAUUCCUUUAAAACAUAUCAGGAUAUUAAUGUUGGAAUUGAAGGUAUUCAAGUUAUUGUAGCAUCUCUUUACCAGAAGGAUGCAGAAGAGACUAUUGAAGGCAUUCAAAAUGCAACAGCUAUUCAACUUGAUGCUAUGGAUUACGGAAGGCUGUCUGAGUAUGUAUCACAGGUUGAAGUGGUGAUUAGUUUGCUCCCUCCCAGUUUUCAUGCUGUCAUAGCCAAAGCAUGCAUAGAGCACAAAAAGCACAUGGUGACUGCAAGCUAUGUUGAUGACUCCAUGUCAAGGUUGGAUGAAAAGGCAAAAAGUGCAGGUGUUACAAUACUUUGUGAAAUGGGCCUGGAUCCUGGCAUAGAUCAUAUGAUGGCAAUGAAGAUGAUCGACCACGCACAUGUCGGGAAGGGGAAAAUAAAAUCAUUUACUUCUUACUGUGGUGGACUUCCCUCUCCUGCUUCUGCAAACAAUCCACUAGCUUACAAGUUCAGUUGGAACCCAGCUGGUGCAAUUCGUUCAGGGCGGAACUCAGCCACUUACAAAUCUAUGGGGGAGAUUGUUUAUGUUGAUGGUAAUGAACUUUAUGACUCAGCAACAAGAUUUCGCAUACCAGAACUUCCAGCAUUUGCCUUGGAGUGCCUCCCGAACCGGAACUCAUUACUAUAUGGGGACUUAUAUGGAAUCACUAAUGAGGCAUCAACCAUCUUUAGGGCCACCCUCCGCUACGAAGGUUUUAGUGAAGUAAUGGCAAGUCUAGCAAAAAUUGGUUUUUUUGAUGAUGAACCUCAUCCUAUGUUGAAAGGUGGUCAAAGAACAACUUUUAGCACCUUUCUAAAUGAACUUCUCAACACCAAAUGCUCUUCUCUAGUGAAUGCUAAUAACCCGGCAGGAUCAACUGGAGAUGAAAAGGAAAUGGUUAGGAGGUUGAUUCUGAGUGGGCACUGCAAAGAAACGACGACAGCAGUGAAGACGGUCAAAACUAUCAAGUUCCUGGGACUUCAUGAGAAUGAGGAAAUCCCAGUAGCAUGUUGGAGUGCGUUAGAUGUUGUGUGCUUCUGCAUGGAACACAGAUUAGCCUACUCCAACAAAGAGCAGGAUAUGGUGCUUUUACAUCAUGAAGUGGAAGUGGAGUUUCCUGAUGGCAGACCCACCGAAAACCACCAGGCUACCCUACUAGAGUUCGGAAAGGUACAAAAUGAUAAAACAGCAAGCGCAAUGGCUCUUACAGUUGGGAUUCCAGCAGCAAUAGGAGCUCUGCUCUUACUUCAGAACAACGUCCAGAGUAGAGGUGUAAUUAGACCUCUCGAACCUGAAGUAUACGUGCCAGCUCUGGAUAUCUUGGAAGCAUCUGGUAUAAAGCUUAUGGAGAAAAUUGAGACCUUAUAAAUCAAAUUAUAGACGACCUGCUUCCUUGUAAAUGUUGUAAAGGUGAACACGAUGUCAUUUUAACAUCUAUGGAGUCUCAAGCACACAAGGAAUUCAAACAAUAUCGUUAGGAAUAAGAAAGAGCUUCUCUAAUAUUAGCAACUACUGUUCUAAGGUUACUGGACAAGCUUGUAUCAAAAGAAACGUAAAUUCACAGAUAAAAUUCUAUCCAAAUAUUCCAGCAGUGAUAUAAUUACUCAGAACAAUGAUGAAACAAAUUAAUUCAUGCAAGUUCAGCAUCUUCUACAGGUCUUGUGCACUUGGUGAUUUGUAUUAGCCUGGUCCUCAAAUAGUUUAAUUUUGAAGCAUGUUUCAAGAAUCAGAAGAAGAGGUUACAAAAUUAAAAUAGAUGAGGCAUGGUUGGCCCUGACUCAAUGAUUACCAGAGUAAAUUUUUGCGGUAAAUACAUAAAUAUUUCAUUGCAGUAAACCAAAAGUACGGAGAACUAUUAGGCCAAGGCCUACGACAAAAGGUACGCAUAAGAAAAGAACUUGAAAGCACAAAGCAGCAGCAGCUAUCCAACAAACCCCAAGAGUACAAGUCAUCAGAGCACAAAUAUUACAAGCAUGAAGCAAUAUAUGUAACAAAGCAUCCGAGUGGGAAAGCAACGAUCUGGAACCAUGGACAAUUAGCCUUAAGUGAAGAGACCGAGCAAAGGAGGCAACUCCCCGAGACAGUAAAUAGUAUAGGCAGUAGAAGUGGUGCAAGCGUGGUUUGCCGAAUCAAAUCAAACUGCCCAAUUCAUCCCGUAUCAAGUCGAACUAGUGCGAGGCUAGAUCUAUUCGGCUCUGUUUUUGGAAACCACACCUAAAUCGCUCCUACUAAAGCAUAUUGUCCCCAUUUUGUAUUGAAUCAAAGUAUACCGGCUUGUACUGAGAUAAAAAUUAGAAAAAAAAAAAUUUGUCUUGAUCUAC
Non-coding RNA from Elaeis guineensis (African oil palm), 4772 nucleotides. The record is from RefSeq and is a predicted model, not a curated record. NCBI's taxonomy places the organism in Eukaryota, Viridiplantae, Streptophyta, Magnoliopsida, Arecales, Arecaceae.